GACGAACGCUGGCGGCGUGCUUAACACAUGCAAGUCGAACGGAAAGGCCCUGCUUUUGUGGGGUGCUCGAGUGGCGAACGGGUGAGUAACACGGGAGUAACCUUCCCUUUACUUUGGGAUAUCUUCAGGAAACUGGGGCUAAUACCGGAUAGGAGCUCCUGCUGCAUGGUGGGGGUUGGACAGUUUCGGCGGAAGGGGAUAGACUGUCGGCUUAUCAGCUUGUUGGUGGGGUAGUGGCUUACCAAGGCAUUGACGGGUAGCCGGCCUGGGAGGGUGAUCAGGGACAUGGGGACUAAGAGACGCAGCAGACGGGAACGGGAGACAGUGGUCGAGAGUAUUAUACAGCGGGGGCGAGCGUGAUAAAGAAGCGCCGGGUGCGGAAUGACGGCCUUGGGGGGGGAAACCGCAUUCACCUGAGACGAAGCGGGAGUGACGGUAAUGGGUGAAGAAGCACCGGCUAACUACGUG
This 468-nucleotide ribosomal RNA is filed under the name uncultured bacterium. RNAcentral describes it as "partial 16S ribosomal RNA". It matches the Rfam family "Bacterial small subunit ribosomal RNA", at positions 28 to 507 of the family's 1533-position model. The record is from RNAcentral.